UUUCUCGUGUAUCACAUGAGGCAUCCAUACUACCAUAUCCUUGUCUACCAUAUUCGUCAUGACUCCAAAGUUCACAUGUCCUAGCCAUGCAUGCCACGUCCAUGUAACAUCAGUUUCUUGUAUUUGAAGACACUUCGGAUAUUCAACCUCCAUUGGCGUCGUCGGUUUGGUUGCCUUGCGACUUGUACUAAUAGCCUUCCACAGGGAUCUUUUAGCAUCAGUAAGUCUUCUUUUAUAUUAACCUCACAACCCAUCUCGGUUGCUUGUCCAAGACAAGGAAUGUAGUAGAUGUCUUUGAGUGCUCUUAUCUCCUCUGUUUUUCCGAUGAACAUGAUCGAACCUUUCCCAACAAUCUCGACGUUUGAUCCAUCACCAAAUUUGACUUUGCCUUUGAUGCUCUUGUCUAGGUUUGAGAAGAACUCUCUCUUGCCUGUCAUAUGGUUACUUGCACCAUUUUCAAGGUACCAUAUACUCGUAUUUCCAUCGCAUUCGUCAAACCUCUUAGGAAACACU
This 513-nucleotide long non-coding RNA is filed under the name Brassica napus (rape). RNAcentral describes it as "long non-coding RNA (BNAP_LNC017625)". The record is from RNAcentral. Lineage: Eukaryota; Viridiplantae; Streptophyta; Magnoliopsida; Brassicales; Brassicaceae.